GUGGGGAAUAUUGGACAAUGGGCGAAAGCCUGAUCCAGCCAUGCCGCGUGUGUGAAGAAGGUCUUCGGAUUGUAAAGCACUUUAAGUUGGGAGGAAGGGCAGUAAGUUAAUACCUUGCUGUUUUGACGUUACCGACAGAAUAAGCACCGGCUAACUUCGUGCCAGCAGCCGCGGUAAUACGAAGGGUGCAAGAGUUAAUCGGAAUUACUGGGCGUAAAGCGCGCGUAGGUGGUUUUGUAAGUUGGAGGUGAAAGCCCCGGGCUCAACCUGGGAACUGCCUCCAAAACUGCAUGACUAGAGUACGGUAGAGGGUAGUGGAAUUUCCUGUGUAGCGGUGAAAUGCGUAGAUAUAGGAAGGAACACCAGUGGCGAAGGCGACUACCUGGACUGAUACUGACACUGAGGUGCGAAAGCGUGGGGAGCAAACAGGAUUAGAAACCCGUGUAGUCC
RNAcentral lists this ribosomal RNA (450 nucleotides) under uncultured bacterium. RNAcentral describes it as "partial 16S ribosomal RNA". It matches the Rfam family "Bacterial small subunit ribosomal RNA", at positions 354 to 796 of the family's 1533-position model. The record is from RNAcentral.